UGAGGAAUAUUGCACAAUGGGGGAAACCCUGAUGCAGCGACGCCGCGUGAGUGAUGAAGUAUUUCGGUAUGUAAAGCUCUAUCAGCAGGGAAGAAAAUGACGGUACCUGACUAAGAAGCCCCGGCUAACUACGUGCCAGCAGCCGCGGUAAUACGUAGGGGGCAAGCGUUAUCCGGAUUUACUGGGUGUAAAGGGAGCGUAGACGGCAGCGCAAGUCUGGAGUGAAAUGCCGGGGCCCAACCCCGGAACUGCUUUGGAAACUGUGCAGCUCGAGUGCAGGAGAGGUAAGCGGAAUUCCUAGUGUAGCGGUGAAAUGCGUAGAUAUUAGGAGGAACACCGGUGGCGAAGGCGGCUUACUGGACUGCAACUGACGUUGAGGCUCGAAGGCGUGGGGAGCAAACAGG
RNAcentral lists this ribosomal RNA (404 nucleotides) under uncultured bacterium. RNAcentral describes it as "bacterial SSU rRNA". It matches the Rfam family "Bacterial small subunit ribosomal RNA", at positions 355 to 776 of the family's 1533-position model. The record is from RNAcentral.